UUACUGGUUUUAACUUCAGCUCCAUUAUCCCAAAUAUUUAUUUCAUGAACUCAUGCACUUAACAAAUAUUAAAUAUCUACCAAGAGCCGAGCUGAAAAAAUACUAUUACCUUGCUCAGGAGCUGGGAGAAAGGAAUUAGAAUGAAAACUAAAAACUGCUUCAGGAGUAACAGAGGAGGGAAGAGAGGGAAGAGCUCCUUGCAGUCAGAGAACAUCAGGGGAAUUUUGAGGAAGCCCCGAAGAAUGAGUUGAGUCUUGAAUGACAGAGACGAUCUACAAACAAAAAGGAGAUGGACAGGAGGAGAUCUCAGCUACUAACAGUGAAUGAACAGAGGAUACUUGGGAAUGUGAAUGGAUGAUCCUGCUACAGGCCACCCUACAGGAGAAAGUAGAAGCAUUUCUGGCUGGGCACAGGGGCUCACACCUGUAAUCCCAGCAGUUUGGGAGGCCAAGAUGGGUGGAUCACUUCAAUCCAGGAAUUCGAGGCUAGCCUGGCCAACACAGCAAGACCUCGUGUCUACAAAAAAAAUAUUAAAAAAUUAGCCAUGCAUGAUGGCACAUGCCUGUAAUCCCAGCUACUCAUGGGGCUGAAGCAGGACAAUCGCUUGAACCCAGGAGGUGGAGGCUGCAGUGAGCCAAGAUUGAGUCACUGCACUCCAGCCUGGGUGAGAAGCAUGAAACUCCGUCUCAAAAGAAAAAAAAAAAAAAAAGUCAUUUCCAGUGGAAAAAAAACCUUAGAAGUUUACGAAUUAUCAGACAGUAGUAUCUUAACAAAGAUGGUGUAAGAAGACUUGAUUCUCUUCUGCAGCAAAAUGCAUGCCUCCCAAACAUUCAGAGAAAUCAAAGGGAAAACGUGGGGAGAAGAGCAUUUGGUAAGACAAAUUAACACAAUAUUCCGUAUUUUUUCCAGCUGAAUCUUGAGAGGAGCAGUUCCUUCCUCUGCUCUCAUCAAGACCAUCUUUGAAGAGCUUCAGAGAUACACCUGCUAAGAGAGACUGAUGGAAUUCUAUUCAAUUAUUUCCUUUGUCCACCCUUUUCUGCUUCCUUCCUCCUGAGAAGGGAGAAUCACUGACAUGGCAUUUGGAUAAAAAUGGGGAACAGGACAGGAGAAGGAGAAACAAAAACAGAUACAUAAGGAGAAAUCAAGAAAAAAACGACCAAGAAACAGAAAGAGUGAGGAAGAGAGCAAGAAAGAGGCUAGUAGAGAAAAGAUGGCAUGGCCAAGCCAAUCUAUAUUCAUGGACAAUCACAGAGGAGAGGAGAAAGCAGUUACAUGGGUGCUGACAAUUUGGGGGAUAACUUUUCCAUUUCUUCAUUGUGUUUUUUUGUUUCAAACACCAUGCAGAGCCUGAGACCAGUGGGCUCUUGGGAUUGAGCAGGGUAAUAGUAUCUUAAAUACAAACACAUGACUCUCUUCAGGCUGAACUGUGCUGAAUGGGCAGGUUGUAAGAGAUUUCUCUUGCAGCGGGUGGUCAAAAGUCUCCUGGAACAUCCCACAUGGAGAAAGUGACUUGGGCAAGACCACACAGCCAGAAAGCAGCAGAGUUGGGACCUCACCUUGGUCUGUGUGAUGCAGAAUUCUGUGUUUCCACCUCCUUAUACUUCCUGAAACGAUCGUAUCACUCAGGAAAAUAACAGUUGCCUCAUGCUUAGUUGGCCUGAAAACUACUGAUUUCAGUGGGCAGAGAGGGGAUGUCCUUGGAUUCAGUCCUCAGGACCAUGGUCCCUGCUGAACACAGAAAGCUUUAAUUCACAUAAAGCUCACACAGCAGAGCCUGGGACACAGUACUCUAUAGAACUGCUAUCAAUAACAAUAGCGGUAAUAAAAACAACACUAAUAACUGUAUAUAGUAAUAAUAAUAAUUGCAGGUAACAGACUUCAAGAUGGUGCCCCACAAUCUCUGCCUCCUGAUGUUCACACAUUUGUAUGACUCCCUCCUCUUCAGUGUGGGCAAGUCCUGUAAUUUGCUUCUAACCAAUAAAAUAUAGCGAAGGUGAUUGGAUGCUGCUCUUUUACGUAUUUAUUUAUUUGAGACGGAGCCUCACUCUGUCGCCCAGGCUGGAGUGCAGCGGCGCAAUCUCGGCUCACUGCAACCUCUGUGUCCUGG
RNAcentral lists this long non-coding RNA (2107 nucleotides) under Homo sapiens (human). Its description in RNAcentral is "HSALNT0227248". Lineage: Eukaryota; Metazoa; Chordata; Mammalia; Primates; Hominidae. The record is from RNAcentral.